AUGUGGAUCCUCAAAAUCUGCCACAACACCGCUAUCUCCGGUGACCACAUUCGGGAAUUUUUCACUCUUUUGGUGCUUGUGCACAACUUCCACCUUGAUGAACAAGCGGAAGAUGAAAUUAAUUGGAAGCACGCAAAUGAUGGAAUUUACACGGCGGCCACCGCAUACAAGGCUCAAUUCCUUGGCUUGACCUUCUCUCCCAUGGACCGCAUGGUUUGGAAGGCUUGGACUCCUCCCAAGGUUAAAUUCUUGGCUUGGUUGGCAUUGCAAGAUAGGAUUUGGAUCGCCGAUCGCUUGGAGAGGCGGGGGUGGCCAAAUUGUGGCCUUUGCAAUCUUUGCAAGAGGGAGCAAGAAACAGGUGCUCACCUUUUCUUCAAGUGUCGCUACACGAUUAGGCUUUGGAGGGCCAUCAUCGAGAAGCUUGGCUUAUAUCACAUGGGUACCUCCAUGUGGCACCUCAGGAAACCGUCAACGCGUGGUGGGAGAAGAGAACCAACAAUAUAUAGCAAUCCUAAUUGA
RNAcentral lists this ribosomal RNA (519 nucleotides) under Triticum aestivum (bread wheat). RNAcentral describes it as "partial small subunit ribosomal RNA". The record is from RNAcentral. Lineage: Eukaryota; Viridiplantae; Streptophyta; Magnoliopsida; Poales; Poaceae.